This 596-nucleotide non-coding RNA is filed under the name unclassified sequences. RNAcentral describes it as "ROOL RNA". It matches the Rfam family "ROOL RNA". Rfam says of the family: Firmicutes, Fusobacteria (1 example), Tenericutes (1 example). Environment (Cow rumen (57)) The record is from Rfam by way of RNAcentral.
GUAUAAUGGUGCAAUAAUCGGCAACUCAGUGCAGAGGGUUUAGUCAACCUUGCUGAGAACGGUUUGAAUGCAAAGUCUUGUUUAUAUGGGAUACUGUAUAAUUAAGGCUUCUUGUUGAUAGUGAUUGAUACGGGGUAGAGACAGAUGUCUCAAGUGCAAGAACCGGUUGCCGGUCUAUAUGAGCAAAAUGUCUAAUCAAGGAGUCGGAGCGAUAAUUGAGGAGGUCCACAGCAAUGGGGACCAAUGCGGCUCUUAAGUGCUGUAUGGGGACAUAUAGAUUACUGAGAGUAAUUCCAAAACAAGCUCUUGCCAAUGACCCGGAGAAAUCCGGCUAUAAGACAAAACAGAUUAGGGCGAGUACCACAAGGCGUUCUUUUACAAAAUAUUAAUUGCUAAAUAUUUACUGAAAAAUACUUAACAAGAACUGAAUGACGUGGGAAAGUUGGGGGUAUCAUUCCCCUCAGAGCAUAGGGCGAAAGCCGGGGUACAUAGGUUAGGACGACGGUCCGAAGCUUCAGGUGUAUCUCCUCUGUGACAGAAUAUUGCGUAGUAUAGAUUUGGGUAGGGCGAAGGUCCGCCGAUUAUUGUUUUUUUUU